Molecule: ribosomal RNA, 972 nt
Filed under: Epicoccum nigrum
Lineage: Eukaryota; Fungi; Ascomycota; Dothideomycetes; Pleosporales; Didymellaceae
Description: partial large subunit ribosomal RNA
Rfam family: Eukaryotic large subunit ribosomal RNA
Source: RNAcentral
CGCCUCGCCAAUGAUUUUACCCGCUGAACUUAAGCAUAUCAAUAAGCGGAGGAAAAGAAACCAACAGGGAUUGCCCUAGUAACGGCGAGUGAAGCGGCAACAGCUCAAAUUUGAAAUCUGGCGUCUUUGGCGUCCGAGUUGUAAUUUGCAGAGGGCGCUUUGGCAUUGGCAGCGGUCCAAGUUCCUUGGAACAGGACGUCACAGAGGGUGAGAAUCCCGUACGUGGUCGCUAGCCUUUACCGUGUAAAGCCCCUUCGACGAGUCGAGUUGUUUGGGAAUGCAGCUCUAAAUGGGAGGUAAAUUUCUUCUAAAGCUAAAUACUGGCCAGAGACCGAUAGCGCACAAGUAGAGUGAUCGAAAGAUGAAAAGCACUUUGGAAAGAGAGUUAAAAAGCACGUGAAAUUGUUGAAAGGGAAGCGCUUGCAGCCAGACUUGCCUGUAGUUGCUCAUCCGGGUUUUUACCCGGUGCACUCUUCUACGGGCAGGCCAGCAUCAGUUUGGGCGGUUGGAUAAAGGUCUCUGUCAUGUACCUCCUCUCGGGGAGAUCUUAUAGGGGAGACGACAUGCAACCAGCCUGGACUGAGGUCCGCGCAUCUGCUAGGAUGCUGGCGUAAUGGCUGUAAGCGGCCCGUCUUGAAACACGGACCAAGGAGUCUAACAUCUAUGCGAGUGUUUGGGUGUCAAGCCCGAACGCGUAAUGAAAGUGAACGGAGGUGGGAACCUUUCGGGGUGCACCAUCGACCGAUCCUGAUGUCUUCGGAUGGAUUUGAGUAAGAGCAUAGCUGUUGGGACCCGAAAGAUGGUGAACUAUGCUUGAAUAGGGUGAAGCCAGAGGAAACUCUGGUGGAGGCUCGCAGCGGUUCUGACGUGCAAAUCGAUCGUCAAAUUUGGGCAUAGGGGCGAAAGACUAAUCGAACUAUCUAGUAGCUGGUUCCUGCCGAAGUUUCCCCCCCCCAAAAAAAAAAAAAAUCC